GCUAGUAAUGGCAGGUCAGCAUACUGCCGUGAAUACGUUCCCGGGCCCUUGUACACACCGCCCGUCACACCAUGAGAGUUGGAAAUACCCGAAGCCUGUGAGCUGACCGUAAGGGGGCAGCAGUCGAAGGUAGGUCGGAUGACUGGGGUGAAGUCGUAACAAGGUAGC
RNAcentral lists this ribosomal RNA (168 nucleotides) under uncultured bacterium. RNAcentral's name for it is "partial 16S ribosomal RNA". It matches the Rfam family "Bacterial small subunit ribosomal RNA", at positions 1334 to 1500 of the family's 1533-position model. The record is from RNAcentral.